RNAcentral lists this long non-coding RNA (1120 nucleotides) under Homo sapiens (human). RNAcentral describes it as "HSALNT0158794". Lineage: Eukaryota; Metazoa; Chordata; Mammalia; Primates; Hominidae. The record is from RNAcentral.
GAUGCCCCUCAGUUCUUGGAUAUUGUGUUCCAUACUUUUUAUUCUUUUACAGCUUUGCAUUUCAGUUUGGGAAGUUUCUGUUGACAUAACUAUAAGCUCAUUAAGUCUUUCCUUGGUCCUGCCGAAUCUACUGAUGAGCCCAUUAAAGGCAUGUUUUAUUUUUGUUAUAGUGUUUUUGAUGUCUAGCAUUUCCUUUUGAUUCUUAGAGUUUCUGUCUCCUGGCUUAAUUGCCCAUCUGUUCCUGAAUGUUUUUCCAUUAGACUCCUUAGCAUAUUAAUUAUAGCUAUUUUAAAUGACCAUUCCGAUAAUUCUGAAACCACUACCAUAUCUGAGUCUGGUUCUGAUAUUACUUUGAUUUUUCAAACUAUGUUUUUGCCUCUUCACAUGUUUUUAAAUUUCUUGUUGAAAGCCAGACAUGAUGUAUCAGGUAAAAGAAUAGGAGAAAAAUAGGCCUUUCAUUGGAGGUUUUAUGUUUGUCUGGCUAGGGUUGAUAUGCUGCUUAUUGUUUGCUGUAGUUGUAUGUCAGAGGAUAAAAUUUCUUCUAAUAUCCUUGGUUUUGUCUCCUCUGUUAUCUCUGGGUUUUCUUAGAGGCUCCUUCUUAAGUAGUGUCUGAGGCGUGCAGUUCUGUAAAGCCUUGUUAUUAUUCAGGAGCCCCGCUGAUGUGGUGGGAAGGUGUGGGCAGUGGGAAGUGCUGUGUAAUCCUAUGAUUAGAGCUCUGUCAUUCAGGGUGGCUGUGCCCUUCUGGCUGUGACCUUCACAAGUGCUUCUCAGGUAUUUCUUCUCUUAGGUGAAGCAGGAAGUCUAGUGUGAGCAGAAGUCGGGUACCUCAGUUUCCCCCUUAUCUACAGUUUCUCUUUCUGCAGUUUCAGUUGCCCAUGGUCAACUGAGGUCAGAAAACACCUUUAUGAUUGGCCUGAAAGAAAAUGCAGGGUCUUUCUUUAGCAAACUAAGCUCUCAACUGCAUCCUAAAUCUUCAGACUGCCUGUCAGGACUCUAGUCAUUGUGUUAGUUCAUAUUCUCUGAUUCAUCACACAGAUAUAUCCUGAUAAAAAUGUUGAAGGCCAAUGAUAAGAAAAUCUGAAAAAGAGCAGGAGAAAAAUGACUUAUGAAAAAGUCAAUC